RNAcentral lists this ribosomal RNA (408 nucleotides) under uncultured bacterium. RNAcentral's name for it is "bacterial SSU rRNA". It matches the Rfam family "Bacterial small subunit ribosomal RNA", at positions 8 to 418 of the family's 1533-position model. The record is from RNAcentral.
AGAGUUUGAUCCUGGCUCAGAUUGAACGCUGGCGGCAUGCUUUACACAUGCAAGUCGAACGGCAGCACGGGCUUCGGCCUGGUGGCGAGUGGCGAACGGGUGAGUAAUGCGUCGGAACGCGCCGAGUAGUGGGGGAUAACGCAGCGAAAGCUGUGCUAAUACCGCAUACGUACUGAGGUAGAAAGUGGGGGACCUUCGGGCCUCACGCUAUUCGAGCGGCCGACGUCUGAUUAGCUAGUUGGUGGGGUAAAGGCUCACCAAGGCGACGAUCAGUAGCGGGUCUGAGAGGAUGAUCCGCCACACUGGGACUGAGACACGGCCCAGACUCCUACGGGAGGCAGCAGUGGGGAAUUUUGGACAAUGGGCGCAAGCCUGAUCCAGCCAUGCCGCGUGUCUGAAGAAGGCCUU